RNAcentral lists this long non-coding RNA (439 nucleotides) under Vulpes vulpes (red fox). RNAcentral's name for it is "lncRNA (ENSVVUG00000024195.1)". Lineage: Eukaryota; Metazoa; Chordata; Mammalia; Carnivora; Canidae. The record is from RNAcentral.
UGACACUAUUCUUCAGCACCUUAUUUCUCCAGUUCCAUUUUAUUAGCAGUGUUUCUCUGUAUCUUGCUGGAAGCAUCUGCUCUUUCAUCAUCUAGUGUUUAUUUUACCUGAAAGGGGAAAACAUGGUACAUCCUCCUCUCCUGUAACCACUAUCAUGAUGUCUCACAAAUGGUGAUACCGUUAGUUUCUUUAGGGUUAUUUUCUUUAUGAUCCACUCUUUUCCCCCGAGGAUGGAGGAAGAAAGAAGAAGGAAAAAAGAUGGCAGUGAAUGGCAACUGAGAAGAAAUGAGCAUUGGAGAGAGGGAAAGAGUGGAAGAACAUAGUCUAUAAUCUUGUUUGAUGAGAUCAUCUUGAUGUAAGAAAACAUAGAUAAUAUGUCACUUAGGAGAGCCAAAGAUGACCUGGACUCGACAGCAAAAUCUCCAUCCAUUAAAGAAAC